Galeopterus variegatus (Sunda flying lemur) is the source of this 632-nucleotide RNA transcript. It is a transcript of the gene named band 4.1-like protein 3 pseudogene, with no coding region annotated. The record is from RefSeq and is a predicted model, not a curated record. The transcript has a single exon. NCBI's taxonomy places the organism in Eukaryota, Metazoa, Chordata, Mammalia, Dermoptera, Cynocephalidae.
GGGGCUAAGGAGGAAAGAGGGAAGGAGGCCGACAAAGCUGCACUGGAACAGGAAGAGACAGCCACUGCUUCCCACGAGCGACAGGAGGAGCAGAGUGCAGCGGUCCACGUUUCUGAGACUUUGGAACAGAAACCUCAUUUUGAGUCAUCAACUGUGAAAAUGGAAACCAUCAGUUUUGGCAGUGUUUCACCAGGAGGAGUAAAGCUAGAAAUUUCUACCAAGGAAGUGCCAGUAGUUCACACUGAAACAAAAACAAUCACAUAUGAAUCAUCACAGGUUGAUCCUGGGGCUGAUCUGGAGCCAGGAGUGCUGAUGAGUGCACAGACGAUCACAUCUGAAACCACUAGUACCACCACCACCCACAUCACCAAAACUGUGAAAGGAGGCAUAUCAGAGACAAGAAUUGAGAAGCGGAUAGUCAUCACAGGAGAUGCAGACAUUGACCAUGACCAGGCACUGGCUCAGGCAAUUAAAGAGGCCAAAGAGCAGCACCCUGACAUGUCAGUGACCAAAGUAGUGGUCCAUAAAGAGACCGAGAUUAUGCCAGAAGAUGGAGAGGAUUGACCAGAGGAAUAACUUAGAUUGCACAUGAAUCCAGUCAUCCAAACCAUUAGGAAAACCAGAGCCUAAAU